UAGAGCGGCGGACGGGUGAGUAACACGUGGACAAUCUGCCCCCCGGCCCGGGAUAGCCCAGGGAAACCUGGAUUAAUACCGGAUGAGACGGGACCCGCGAUGGCGGGAUCCGGGAAAGGCGCUGCGGCGCCGCCGGGGGAUGAGUCUACGCCCAUUAGCUAGACGGCGGGGUAACGGCCCACCGUGGCGACGAUGGGUAGCCGGCCUGAGAGGGUGGACGGCCACAUUGGAACUGAGACACGGUCCAGACUCCUACGGGAGGCAGCAGCUAAGAAUCUUCCGCAAUGGGCGAAAGCCUGACGGAGCCGACGCCGCGUGAACGAAGAAGGCCGUGAGGUUGUAAAGUUCUUUUCGGGAGGGGGAACAACCGUGGCAGGGAAUGGCCGCGGGAUGACGUGAAUCCCGGAAUAAGCCCCGGCUAACUACGUGCCAGCCGCGGC
This 440-nucleotide ribosomal RNA is filed under the name uncultured bacterium. Its description in RNAcentral is "bacterial SSU rRNA". It matches the Rfam family "Bacterial small subunit ribosomal RNA", at positions 91 to 518 of the family's 1533-position model. The record is from RNAcentral.